CAAAUUAAUUACCAUCUGUCUUGGUGUUCUCAGGCUGCCAUGGCAAAAUAUCACAGACCAUCUUGAAGAACAGAGUUAUUCACUGGAGGCUCACAAGACUACAGUGAACGUCUGCUGGAACUGGGUGUCUGGAGGACCUUCUCCUGCGUUGUAGAGGUUACCCUGUCCUCUCCUUUCAUGGGUGUGUGUCUGCUGGAGCUGACAGGGUUUGUGGAAGGGAAGUAACCCAAAGAUACUCAACACAGCCAGCCUCCAAGGAAGCCGGGCACACACAUCAGUUCUUGGCACAAAGAAAAUGAUUUGGC
This 305-nucleotide long non-coding RNA is filed under the name Mus spicilegus (steppe mouse). RNAcentral describes it as "lncRNA (ENSMSIG00000002284.1)". The record is from RNAcentral. Lineage: Eukaryota; Metazoa; Chordata; Mammalia; Rodentia; Muridae.